RNAcentral lists this ribosomal RNA (105 nucleotides) under Staphylococcus aureus. Its description in RNAcentral is "partial 16S ribosomal RNA". It matches the Rfam family "Bacterial small subunit ribosomal RNA", at positions 1430 to 1533 of the family's 1533-position model. RNAcentral also lists the same sequence under 1 other name. Lineage: Bacteria; Bacillati; Bacillota; Bacilli; Caryophanales; Staphylococcaceae. The record is from RNAcentral.
GUGGAGUAACCUUUUAGGAGCUAGCCGUCGAAGGUGGGACAAAUGAUUGGGGUGAAGUCGUAACAAGGUAGCCGUAUCGGAAGGUGCGGCUGGAUCACCUCCUUU